CAGAAAACAACCAAUGAUGACUCUAAGGUGGUCAGGCCUAAUGGCCAGAGCAGUGGGGUCAGAAGCCUGCACCAAAGGUCAGAGCUGGAGUCAGGAACCAGAGCCAAGAGUCGGAGCUGGGGCCAGGAGUCCAAGAGUAGCAACUGCAGGCCUCAGUCAGUUACCAAAGACAAAGCUCAGAUGCCUUCUGGUGGGAAAGGGAAAUAAGUUGUUUCUGCAAGGACAAAGGCCACACAGAGUUAGUGUUUAAAACAGAUUGGCAGCACCCUGGACCCCACCAUGUGAGAGACGAGGGGGUGGCAGCCCCAACCACGACACCAACCCCCGCUGGGUGGGGAUGGGUAGCAGAC
Long non-coding RNA from Mauremys reevesii (Reeves's turtle), 350 nucleotides. RefSeq lists it as uncharacterized. The transcript has 3 exons. The record is from RefSeq and is a predicted model, not a curated record. Lineage: Eukaryota; Metazoa; Chordata; Testudines; Geoemydidae.